GAGGAGGACGCCGAAGGUGGGGCUAAUGACUGGGGUGAAGUCGUAACAAGGUAGCCGUACCGGAAGGUGCGGCUGGAUCACCUCCUAACAGGGAGACAACAAAAUGUUUAAUAUUAUUAUUUUGUCACCUUAGGUCGAUCGGUAUCUCACGUUCUUAUUAUUAAGAAUUUCAUUUCCUAAGUUUUUUCUAGGUCACACCCAUUUUUUUUCCUGGGCCAUUAGCUCAGGUGGUUAGAGCGCACCCCUGAUAAGGGUGAGGUCCCUGGUUCAAGUCCAGGAUGGCCCAUAUCUCUAUGUUGGGGGUAUAGCUCAGUUGGUAGAGCGCCUGCUUUGCAAGCAGGAUGUCAGCGGUUCGAGUCCGCUUACCUCCACUGAUUACCACCUCUUACAUAAACUGUAGAAAGGAAAUUUUUUGAGUUGUGAUCAAAUUCUGAACGAAUCUAGCUUCCUAAUGAAACCAUUAAGAUGCUGGACUCAUUGAAUUAAUUUCAUUGUUUUCAGAGAACCUUGACAACUGCAUAGAUUAUUUUUAAAGACAAUAAGCAUCUUUAAUGAUGCAGAUUUAUUAUUUGUGCAAAUGCAUUAAUAACAAUUCUAUUAAGCUGAUGCUUCAAUUAUGAAGUUAUUGGUCAAGCUACAAAGGGCUCACGGAGGAUA
RNAcentral lists this unclassified non-coding RNA (657 nucleotides) under uncultured Prochlorococcus sp. RNAcentral describes it as "partial may contain 16S ribosomal RNA, 16S-23S ribosomal RNA intergenic spacer, and 23S ribosomal RNA". The stretch from base 299 to 371 matches the Rfam family "tRNA". Lineage: Bacteria; Bacillati; Cyanobacteriota; Cyanophyceae; Synechococcales; Prochlorococcaceae. The record is from RNAcentral.